RNAcentral lists this small nuclear RNA (103 nucleotides) under Procavia capensis (Cape rock hyrax). Lineage: Eukaryota; Metazoa; Chordata; Mammalia; Hyracoidea; Procaviidae. The record is from RNAcentral.
UCACUUUGGCAGCACACAUCCUAAAACUGAAACUAUACAGAGAACAUUACCAAGGCCCCUGAACAAGGAUGACGAACAAAUCUGUGAAGUGCUCCAUAUUUUU